UACGUAGGUGGCAAGCGUUGUCCGGAAUUAUUGGGCGUAAAGCGCGCGCAGGCGGUCUUUUAAGUCUGAUGUGAAAGCCCCCGGCUCAACCGGGGAGGGUCAUUGGAGACUGGAGGACUUGAGUGCAGAAGAGGAGACCGGAAUUCCACGUGUAGCGGUGAAAUGCGUAGAGAUGUGGAGGAACACCAGUGGCGAAGGCGGCUCUCUGGUCUGAAACUGACGCUGAGGCGCGAAAGCGUGGGGAG
Molecule: ribosomal RNA, 245 nt
Filed under: uncultured bacterium
Lineage: Bacteria
Description: partial 16S ribosomal RNA
Rfam family: Bacterial small subunit ribosomal RNA
Source: RNAcentral